This 432-nucleotide ribosomal RNA is filed under the name uncultured bacterium. Its description in RNAcentral is "partial 16S ribosomal RNA". It matches the Rfam family "Bacterial small subunit ribosomal RNA", at positions 29 to 506 of the family's 1533-position model. The record is from RNAcentral.
AACGAACGCUGGCGGCAUGCCUAACACAUGCAAGUCGAACGAGACCUUCGGGUCUAGUGGCGCACGGGUGCGUAACGCGUGGGAACCUGCCCUUAGGUUCGGAAUAACUCCCCGAAAGGGGUGCUAAUACCGGAUAAUGUCUUCGGACCAAAGAUUUAUCGCCUUUGGAUGGGCCCGCGUUGGAUUAGCUAGUUGGUAGGGUAAAAGCCGACCAAGGCGACGAUCCAUAGCUGGUCUGAGAGGAUGCUCAGCCACACUGGGACUGGGACACGGCCCAGACUCCUACGGGAGGCAGCAGUGGGGACUAUUGGACAAUGGGCGAAAGCCUGAUCCAGCAAUGCCGCGUGAGUGAUGAAGGCCUUAGGGUUGUAAAGCUCUUUUACCCGGGAUGAUAAUGACAGUACCGGGAGAAUAAGCUCCGGCUACCUCCGU